This 171-nucleotide unclassified non-coding RNA is filed under the name soil metagenome. RNAcentral's name for it is "partial internal transcribed spacer 1". The record is from RNAcentral.
CGGAGUAUGCCCUCGGGGGCGGAUCUCCAACCCUCCCGUAUACUACAAUUGUCUGUUGCUUUUGGCCGGGCCCCCGCGCCAAGGCUGCCGGCUUCGGCUGGUUUAGUGCCCGCCAGAGGAAACUAAACCCUAACAAAUUUAUGUUUCGUCUGAAAAAAUAUUAAAUAUUUA